UACCGCCGCCGCCGCCAGCUCGUUAUCCUCCUCCCUGCAGCCCCGCAACAAGUCCUGCGCCUCCUCGGGAUCCAAGUGACCCACGGGUCCGUUCCCACUCGUACCGCCGCCGCCGCCGCCGCUGGAGUCCUUCCUGCCGCCGCCCCGAAGUGCUGGACCCACCGCAAGCAACACCGAAUCGCCGUGCAUGGGUACGCGAUGUACGACAGCGCGGUACGGCGCGACGGGCUCGCACGACGCCGCGCCGAUCCAUAACGACACGAGGCGCUGUAUGGUGGCGUUGAUGGCGCACACAGCAGUGUCCAAGUUGGAGGUGAGGCUGUAAAGGUGGUCG
RNAcentral lists this long non-coding RNA (334 nucleotides) under Volvox carteri. Its description in RNAcentral is "long non-coding RNA (VCAR_LNC001264)". Lineage: Eukaryota; Viridiplantae; Chlorophyta; Chlorophyceae; Chlamydomonadales; Volvocaceae. The record is from RNAcentral.